GUCGUCGCCAUUUGAUUACUUCUUUAUGUCUACUUACUCUUUAGCCCCGUACAAGCUACCAUAGCACGUGAAACUAAUUAGUCCAAAUGGCUACGACCACUACUACAACCACACGUGCGGCGUCCGACGACGAUCUCCACUCCCUCCUUUCCGAGCAGCGGCGAGAGCUCAUGGCUGCGCAAACCCUCGAAUCCGACCUCGACUUAGCCUUCCGCCUCCAACUCCAAGAAGCCGUCAACGCCUCCCUGUCUCUUCCCCCUUCCUCGUCAACGUCACCACCGACUUCUCAAACACAAUCCUCGCCUUCGGUUAUUGUUAUCCCGGACCAAAACGACACCGUUCAGGCCUCUCUUUCUUCUCUCCAAUCUGAAGAGAUCUCCAAGAUCGAACAAGAGUUGAAUGAUCGGAAACAAUCCGAACUCGAAAUGCGCAGAAUGAGAGAAGAUCUUGAUCGUAGAAUGCACGACCAGAAAGUCGCUCGGGAGAUCUUGAGAAUUCCGGAUGACGAGUGGCUUGAGUGGGGUGAUAAUUUUGAGAAACCCUUCGGCGAGGGAAGCUCUAAAAGCGUCGAGAACAAUAGUAGCAUUUUCAAAUUGUAUUUCAAGGGUUUGGUGAGCGAAGAGAUGGUGACGGACCAGAAGGUAAUUUUGGCUGGGAUUGGUGUAGCAAUUUGUGACCCAGAAGAUAAUUUGGUGUUCGAGAUAAGGAAGCCAUUGAUUGGGAAUGGAAUGAGCAGGCAGGCUGCAGAGGCUAAGGCUUUAAUUGAAGGGCUCAACGCGGCUCUUGCUCUGGAGCUCAAGAGGAUUGUGGUUUCUUGUGAUUAUUAUCCGCUUUAUCAAUUUGUUAUUGGAAGAUGGCCACCAAAGCAGCGCAAGAUUGCUACGUUAGUCAACCAAGUGUCUCUCCUUCAACAAAAAUUUACAUAUUGCAAUCCCACUCUUGUGGCACGCAAUGAUGUCAAAUAUGCUUUUAAACUUGCAAGAGAUGCAAUAGUUUCUCAGGUCACAAUUCCUGCAGAAUCAAGCUGUGGCGAGACUCUUCAGGAGACUUGUGUUAUCUGUUUAGAAGAUACAGAUGCUGAGCACAUAUUUUCAGUUGAUGGAUGUGGACAUCGAUACUGCUUUUCUUGUAUGAAACAGCAUGUGGAGGUGAAGUUGCUUCAUGGCUUGGUACCUAAAUGUCCUCAUGAAGGCUGCAAGUCAGAGCUCAGUGUUGACAGCUGUGGGAAGUUCUUGACAUCCAAAUUAAUUGAGACGAUGAACCAAAGGAUAAAAGAAGCUUCGAUUCCUGUUACGGAGCAAAUUUAUUGCCCAUAUCCCAAAUGCUCAGCACUAAUGUCAAAAAAUGAGAUUUCUGAAUUUGCGGAAAAUGCAUUUGGUGGUUCUGGACGUUCAGGUGCUCGGAAAUGCUUGAAGUGCCAUGGCCUUUUUUGUAUUAAUUGCAAGGUCCCCUGGCAUAGCAGCAUGACUUGUACCAUUUACAAAAUGUUGCAUCCUAACCCACCUGCAGAAGAUGUGAAACUGAAGUCUCUUGCUACAAGUAAUCUGUGGCGCCAGUGUGUGAAAUGCAAUCAUAUGAUUGAACUGUCUGAAGGUUGUUAUCACAUGACUUGCAGGUAUUAUAAUCAUCUUCCUCCCAAAUUGAUUUUUCCCACCAAUAUUUGUGACCAAAGAAAAUUAGUUGAAUGAAAUUGUAAAAGGUGUUUACAAAUGACCUGUGAAAGAAAGAUUGCAUCAUUUUCAGUGUUCAUUACCACCACUUUGAAGAAGAUUAGAAUGGGGCCCUGUUUGGGGUUGAGGUUAGGAGGUCAAAAAAAUGCUUUUUGGAAAAGCACCUUUCUCAUGACUGAACUUCUAUUAAAACUUGCCCAUGGAAUGGAAGGGGAGAUAUAAGAGGAUAUUGUGUAAGAAUAAGAUAAAUGUUGGGUGGGUAAAGUGGGUCUUCCUCAACUUUACUUCACAUUCCCACCCAGUUAAGGCUUAGGGCCUAUGUCGCGAGUAUAUAGUGAAGUAAUUGAAGGAAAGACAUGUUUGUAUGCUAUUCUAGCAGUUCUUUUAAUACUUAGAAGAAAGCUUCAAUAAGUUAUGGUGCCUGACAUUUAUCAUAUUGUGGAUUCACAUCUUAUUCUGGUACAUUUAAAAAUCAUAAAUUCACUUAGACAUCAAUAAUAUUUCUCAUGCUUGUGAUGUUUUUGCAGAUGUGGGUAUGAGUUUUGCUAUAAUUGUGGAGCUGAAUGGAAGGAGAAAAAGGCAACAUGUCAUUGCCCACUCUGGGAUGAGGAUAAUAUUUUGUAUGAUGAUGAUAGGGACUUUGAUGAUGAAGAAGAAGAUGAUGAUGA
This 2338-nucleotide unclassified non-coding RNA is filed under the name Hevea brasiliensis (rubber tree). Lineage: Eukaryota; Viridiplantae; Streptophyta; Magnoliopsida; Malpighiales; Euphorbiaceae. The record is from RNAcentral.